Molecule: non-coding RNA, 76 nt
Organism: Cordylochernes scorpioides
Lineage: Eukaryota; Metazoa; Arthropoda; Arachnida; Pseudoscorpiones; Chernetidae
Source: the annotation of a GenBank genome assembly
UACCAUUUAAGGCGCGAUACAUCUUAAAGGCUGAUAAGAAUAAAGUCCUUUGGUGCAUCUUGCUUUUGAUGGUGGU